AGGACGAACGCUGGCGGCGCGCUUAACACAUGCAAGUCGAGCGAGAACCGGUCCUUCGGGACCGGGGAAAGCGGCGAACGGGUGAGUAACACGUGGGUAAUCAACCCUCGGUACCGGGAUAGCCCGAGGAAACUCGGAUUAAUACCGGAUGGCCCAACAGCCUUUCGGGGCGGUUGGAAAAGGUAGCUUCGGCCUCCGACCGAGGACGAGCCCGCGGCGGAUUAGCUUGUUGGUGGGGUAACGGCCCACCAAGGCGACGAUCCGUAGCUGGUCUGAGAGGACGAUCAGCCACACUGGGACUGAGACACGGCCCAGACUCCUACGGGAGGCAGCAGUGGGGAAUCUUGCACAAUGGGCGAAAGCCUGAUGCAGCGACGCCGCGUGAGGGAGAAGGCUUUCGGGUUGUAAACCUCUUUCAGGAGGGACGAAGCUACUCGGGUUAAUAGCCCAGAGGGUGACGGUACCUCCAGAAGAAGCCCCGGCUAACUACGCGCCAGCAGCCGC
This 504-nucleotide ribosomal RNA is filed under the name uncultured bacterium. RNAcentral describes it as "SSU rRNA". It matches the Rfam family "Bacterial small subunit ribosomal RNA", at positions 26 to 518 of the family's 1533-position model. The record is from RNAcentral.